RNAcentral lists this long non-coding RNA (1249 nucleotides) under Calidris pugnax (ruff). Its description in RNAcentral is "lncRNA (ENSCPUG00000008103.1)". The record is from RNAcentral. Lineage: Eukaryota; Metazoa; Chordata; Aves; Charadriiformes; Scolopacidae.
CGUAUUCCAGUAGGAGGUGUCCCUGCCCAGGGUAGCGGCCUGGAACUCGGUGAUCUUUAAGGUCCCUUCCAACUCCAACCUUUCUAUGAUUUUAUGAUACAGCAAAAUCUGCCUAACCACGUUGUUUUGUGAGAAACUCGAUGCUGACAGGAGUCAGUGCGAAGUCUCUGCAUUUGAACCUGUAGUAAAAGAGCUUUAUCCCUCUGUGCUUUCAGGUGUUUCUGCACCUCUUUGGGGAGUCUCGUAUCAUGAGAGAAACUUUUCCUGAGUAUUUUUAUACAAAGACCACGUAAGAACCAGGAAGUAUUCGCCGGUAAGACCCAAGUGUUCCAAAUUUGUAUUUUAAUUUUGUGGCUUUCCACAGCACUAGCCAUGAGAAACGCACAUGUCAGUUUUGAUUAAUUUCAUUUCUCAAGCUUACAUUUUACCUUAAUUCACUACAAGCACAAUAUAUUAUAAAUUAAAAAAAAAAAACCAAACCAACAAACCACCACCAACAACAAAAAAACCAAACCGCCAAAAACCCAAACAGAAGAACACUUCAUUAUGUGCUGAAGAUAGUAUCAAUCCACAACUUUUGUAAGCAAGUACCACCAGUUUCUUGAAAUCCUUGAAAAUAAUUCACAACAUACUCUUGAGAGAUCCCUGCCGUUAGCAGACAAGACUUCUGCAAAUUUAAUGGCUUAUUGUCUAAUCCACUAUUUGUGUGUGUUUGUGUACACAGACCUGUUUCUUUCAAAGUGAAACUACCCGAGUUUCAUGUGGUGUCAGGUUUCCAUAGGAAAUGUUUACACGGUUCUGUGCAGAAGGUCACUGUCCAAAGCCACCAAGAGCAGGAGGAGAAACAUGUAACUGUGUGUCAGAUUGGAAUGCACGAAUGGACCUGGAGAAACUGCAGGAGCUGAUGCAUCCUUCUCCCUUCACACAGGAUCAUUAACAUGUUUUUGCUGGUAAGGAUGUGUCUUUUUGGGACAAAAGCUGUCUGUGGGGCAGGUGUUGCCAUCCUGUAGCCACCGGGCCUCUGACAUCACAAAAAAGAAGCCUUCUCUUUCCGGAGAGCAGCACCUGCCCUAAGUCAAACCAGAUUCAUCCCUUCAGUAUGUAACAGCACACAUGUCCCAGCAGGAAAUGAAUUUCCCAAACUGAGACCAUUUCCUAGCAGCCAAACAAAGACUAAAUAUGGAAUUUCAUAUAUUUUCAUAUUUUUUCAAGGGGGGGGGGGGAGGACAAGGUUGACUGAGCAAGUGGA